CAUCUACAUGUAAAUUCCAACUUUCAAGAUCAGAUGAGUCUAUUCCUAAGAUCAGAGAGUAUGUUGCCAUGGCAGUGUGCAGGCAGAAGUUGCAUGAUGAUGUAUUGAAGGGGUGGAUAUCAUUUUUCAUUGAUGACAUCCUUGGUCAAUAUGUUGGACUGCAUCAUACUUCAAAAGGACCCUUGGAACCUGACUCUAAUGUGGAAGGGACAUAUAUUACAAAUAAGGAACAUGAUAGCACCACUAUUGCUUCACUAGAAAAAGUUAAGGAAG
RNAcentral lists this unclassified non-coding RNA (273 nucleotides) under Hevea brasiliensis (rubber tree). Lineage: Eukaryota; Viridiplantae; Streptophyta; Magnoliopsida; Malpighiales; Euphorbiaceae. The record is from RNAcentral.